CCUACGGGCGGCAGCAGUGGGGAAUAUUGGACAAUGGGCGAAAGCCUGAUCCAGCCAUGCCGCGUGUGUGAAGAAGGCCUUCGGGUUGUAAAGCACUUUCAGUGGGGAAGAAAGCCUUGGGGCUAAUACCCUCGAGGAAGGACAUCACCCACAGAAGAAGCACCGGCUAACUCCGUGCCAGCAGCCGCGGUAAUACGGAGGGUGCGAGCGUUAAUCGGAAUUACUGGGCGUAAAGCGCGCGUAGGCGGUCUGAUAAGCCGGUUGUGAAAGCCCCGGGCUCAACCUGGGAACGGCAUCCGGAACUGUCAGGCUAGAGUGCAGGAGAGGAAGGUAGAAUUCCCGGUGUAGCGGUGAAAUGCGUAGAGAUCGGGAGGAAUACCAGUGGCGAAGGCGGCCUUCUGGACUGGCACUGACGCUGAGGUGCGAAAGCGUGGGUAGCAAACAGGAUUAGAUACCCGGGUAGUC
This 465-nucleotide ribosomal RNA is filed under the name Vreelandella stevensii. RNAcentral's name for it is "partial 16S ribosomal RNA". It matches the Rfam family "Bacterial small subunit ribosomal RNA", at positions 338 to 795 of the family's 1533-position model. The record is from RNAcentral. Lineage: Bacteria; Pseudomonadati; Pseudomonadota; Gammaproteobacteria; Oceanospirillales; Halomonadaceae.